This 253-nucleotide ribosomal RNA is filed under the name uncultured bacterium. RNAcentral's name for it is "partial 16S ribosomal RNA". It matches the Rfam family "Bacterial small subunit ribosomal RNA", at positions 524 to 776 of the family's 1533-position model. The record is from RNAcentral.
UACGUAGGGGGCAAGCGUUGUCCGGAAUCAUUGGGCGUAAAGCGCGUGUAGGCGGCCAGGUAAGUCCGUUCUGAAAGCCCGGGGCUCAACCCCGGGAGGCGGAUGGAUACUGCUUGGCUCGAGUCCGGAAGAGGCGAGUGGAAUUCCCGGUGUAGCGGUGAAAUGCGCAGAUAUCGGGAGGAACACCAAUGGCGAAGGCAGCUCGCCGGGACGGUACUGACGCUGAGACGCGAAAGCGUGGGGAGCAAACAGG